AUUGAACGCUGGCGGCAUGCUUUACACAUGCAAGUCGAACGGCGGCGCGGGCUUCGGCCUGGCGGCGAGUGGCGAACGGGUGAGUAAUGCAUCGGAACGUGCCCAGUAGUGGGGGAUAGCCCGGCGAAAGCCGGAUUAAUACCGCAUACGACCUGAGGGUGAAAGCGGGGGACCGAAAGGCCUCGCGCUAUUGGAGCGGCCGAUGUCGGAUUAGCUAGUUGGUGGGGUAAAGGCUUACCAAGGCGACGAUCCGUAGCUGGUCUGAGAGGACGACCAGCCACACUGGAACUGAGACACGGCCCAGACUCCUACGGGAGGCAGCAGUGGGGAAUUUUGGACAAUGGGGGCAACCCUGAUCCAGCCAUGCCGCGUGCGGGAAGAAGGCCUUCGGGUUGUAAACCGCUUUUGUUCGGGAAGAAAUCCUCUGGGCUAAUACCCCGGGGGGAUGACGGUACCGGAAGAAUAAGCACCGGCUAACUACGUG
This 484-nucleotide ribosomal RNA is filed under the name uncultured bacterium. Its description in RNAcentral is "partial 16S ribosomal RNA". It matches the Rfam family "Bacterial small subunit ribosomal RNA", at positions 28 to 507 of the family's 1533-position model. The record is from RNAcentral.